RNAcentral lists this ribosomal RNA (1544 nucleotides) under Arthrobacter sp. JUb115. RNAcentral's name for it is "bacterial SSU rRNA". It matches the Rfam family "Bacterial small subunit ribosomal RNA". The record is from RNAcentral. Lineage: Bacteria; Bacillati; Actinomycetota; Actinomycetes; Micrococcales; Micrococcaceae.
GGUGGCUUUUUAUUUUUUUAUGGAGAGUUUGAUCCUGGCUCAGGAUGAACGCUGGCGGCGUGCUUAACACAUGCAAGUCGAACGAUGAAGCCCAGCUUGCUGGGUGGAUUAGUGGCGAACGGGUGAGUAACACGUGAGUAACCUGCCCCCGACUCUGGGAUAAGCCCGGGAAACUGGGUCUAAUACCGGAUAUUACCUUUGACCGCAUGGUUGUUGGUGGAAAGAUUUAUCGGUGGGGGAUGGACUCGCGGCCUAUCAGCUUGUUGGUGAGGUAAUGGCUCACCAAGGCGACGACGGGUAGCCGGCCUGAGAGGGUGACCGGCCACACUGGGACUGAGACACGGCCCAGACUCCUACGGGAGGCAGCAGUGGGGAAUAUUGCACAAUGGGCGAAAGCCUGAUGCAGCGACGCCGCGUGAGGGAUGACGGCCUUCGGGUUGUAAACCUCUUUCAGUAGGGAAGAAGCGAAAGUGACGGUACCUGCAGAAGAAGCGCCGGCUAACUACGUGCCAGCAGCCGCGGUAAUACGUAGGGCGCAAGCGUUAUCCGGAUUUAUUGGGCGUAAAGAGCUCGUAGGCGGUUUGUCGCGUCUGCCGUGAAAGUCCGAGGCUCAACCUCGGAUCUGCGGUGGGUACGGGCAGACUAGAGUGAUGUAGGGGAGACUGGAAUUCCUGGUGUAGCGGUGAAAUGCGCAGAUAUCAGGAGGAACACCGAUGGCGAAGGCAGGUCUCUGGGCAUUUACUGACGCUGAGGAGCGAAAGCAUGGGGAGCGAACAGGAUUAGAUACCCUGGUAGUCCAUGCCGUAAACGUUGGGCACUAGGUGUGGGGGACAUUCCACGUUUUCCGCGCCGUAGCUAACGCAUUAAGUGCCCCGCCUGGGGAGUACGGCCGCAAGGCUAAAACUCAAAGGAAUUGACGGGGGCCCGCACAAGCGGCGGAGCAUGCGGAUUAAUUCGAUGCAACGCGAAGAACCUUACCAAGGCUUGACAUGUGCCAGACCGCCUCAGAGAUGGGGUUUCCCUUCGGGGCUGGUUCACAGGUGGUGCAUGGUUGUCGUCAGCUCGUGUCGUGAGAUGUUGGGUUAAGUCCCGCAACGAGCGCAACCCUCGUUCCAUGUUGCCAGCACGUAAAGGUGGGGACUCAUGGGAGACUGCCGGGGUCAACUCGGAGGAAGGUGGGGAUGACGUCAAAUCAUCAUGCCCCUUAUGUCUUGGGCUUCACGCAUGCUACAAUGGCCGGUACAAUGGGUUGCGAUACUGUGAGGUGGAGCUAAUCCCUAAAAGCCGGUCUCAGUUCGGAUUGGGGUCUGCAACUCGACCCCAUGAAGUCGGAGUCGCUAGUAAUCGCAGAUCAGCAACGCUGCGGUGAAUACGUUCCCGGGCCUUGUACACACCGCCCGUCAAGUCACGAAAGUUGGUAACACCCGAAGCCGAUGGCCUAACCACCUUGUGUGGGGGGAGUCGUCGAAGGUGGGACUGGCGAUUGGGACUAAGUCGUAACAAGGUAGCCGUACCGGAAGGUGCGGCUGGAUCACCUCCUUUCU